This is a long non-coding RNA of Myxocyprinus asiaticus (Chinese sucker), 2857 nucleotides long. RefSeq lists it as uncharacterized. NCBI's taxonomy places the organism in Eukaryota, Metazoa, Chordata, Actinopteri, Cypriniformes, Catostomidae. The record is from RefSeq and is a predicted model, not a curated record. The transcript has 3 exons.
UUGCACAGGGCAGAUACAGAGGAACACCUUGCUUAAGUUUCUCUGUAGGGAACUGGCAGGGAAAUGGUGGAUGAAAUAGCUUAAAUGACAAGCAUUAGAUAGCCUGAAAAGCAUGGACAUCCAAAUCCAUGUUCCCGGCAUGCACAUGCGAGCUGGGGGCGGCUCUUACAGAUUUGAAUGAGGAGAGUCACUUUCGGCGCCAUUUUCGAGUGAGCAGCGAUAACAUCAACACUGAGAGCGCGGAUGGAAAGACAGUGCGCGCGACGCUUCGUCUCUAAAUAUGAGAUUUUGUUACCCGAAUGUGGAAAAACAACCAUAUCAGACAGCAAAAUCGCCUGACAUCUGAUGCGGACGACCACAGGAGUGACCAUUACGAACCGAUUCUGCAGCCGGAGAAGAAAAGGGGGUCUGUCGUUUUCAGCUGCGUAUUUAGAAAACCAGCGAUUUUUUUUUGUUGUUGUUGUAAAUAAAUAAAGAAAAAUAGCGCUCGAUGCAAGGAAAAAUAUAGAAAAAUUCUGGAAAAUGCGGCAGGGUCCUAAGAUUGGGAUUCAUCCAGGCAACGGCGAAGAACGGGUCAUUUUGGUGUUUUUUCACGUCGCUUUUUGAGCGGGAGUAACGGACGUGCUGCUGGCGCAGAUGCACACUGAUGCAUCGGAACCAUCGGAGCCGGAGAGGAGUCCUUGUAGUGCACACGGCAGGAGACUGAGCUGUGACAAAGUUAAGUGACUGUUGAGAAACGCGGAUGUGUGGGCGUGUGCCUCACGUGAGAGUGUGCGUGCGUGCUUUGUGCGGGUCCUGUUGGUACUGUAGCAGCACAGAAUGGUUUGUGAGUUAUAACGGAGGUGCAGGCCGUACUGUGCUGCGGCAAGAACGACAGGACAGAUGCUCACUUCACAUUCAAACGGGUGAAAGAGAGAGAGAGGGAGGAUGGGAAAAGUAGGCAACAACAGCAGCAGCAGCAGCAGCAGCAAGACUACAUGUGUAUGUGUGACUGAGUCUCCUGAACUUGACCGUGUGACUGACUGGCUGCCUGGCUGUAGCAGCACGUAAAUAUUGGAGUCAAAGCACUAGCGAAUCCUCCAGUAUUGACCGUGCUGCUGGAGUUAGGCGGGCCGUUUACCGUCCUCUGGUGUCUCCGGGGUCCUUCAUCUCUUCAGGACUGCACGAGAAGUACAAUUAAUCAACGAGAUUAUAUGUAAAUACAGAUUUUUAUAUAUUGCAUUUAUUUACUGUAGACCGUUGAUGUUGCAGUUUGAAUAUGAAGUUCUAUUUAAAACCAUUGUCAAAGAUAUACUCAUUUUAAUCUGCUUUAGGUCAAAUCCAUCUGUGAAAUAUUUAUUCUUAGUUUAGAAAUGAUUUGAUUGUUGAUAAUUUGAUGUAUAUGAAAAAUGCAAUAAAGGAAAAAUAUCAUUAAAAUCAUUACAAUGAGAACAAUUGCAUCAAGCUUAAUUAUUUGUACUAAGUUAUACAUCUGCAGAUCCACUUAAAUGCAUGAAGCCAACACAUUUCUCUCAAGUAGGCUAAAUUGGUACUCUUAAGUAAAAUCAAUAGGAUUAUAUCUGCGUUCACAUGUUCCUGAUAAUGUGCUGUUUUUUUUUUUUUUUUUUUUGCAUGAAUCUCAAAAUAACCUAUAAUAUCUACUAUAAUAACAAGCACUUCACCAAUUAACUGUCCUGAUCGAAGAAAAUCACUUAAACAGUUCGUUUCAUAUUUUAGUAUUGGGCAUCGAUACUUGCAAUGACCUUUCAUCUUUCUUCUCACGCGUUGCAUUUUAAAUAACGCAGCAUCGCCAUCUUCUGGGAAACAUUGAUUCCCUUUUCUUCUUUAAAGUCUUUAGGGGAGGGUUGCUGACAGAAUCACAUCGUGGAUCGACCCCUUUGGUACUUUGCGCUGUUUGUUUGUGUUCCCGCGUUUCUUCUCGGUAAGGGUUGUUAAUAUCAAGUAUAUUUACACACUCCCUAUCUGUAACACUCGUUAUCCUCGGGCGAAACUGACUGGAACCAUCCUUCAAAUCUGUGUCCAACAGGCCAAGAACAUUCACAGAAGUUUCGUUUGGAUCAAUUGCACAGAAAUCUGCCAAAUAUGCACAGGAAAGAUGCCAAAGUAUUGGACACAAAAUGCAAACUUUUGAGGGUUCUUCAGCGUAUGGCCGAGAGAUCCUCAUGGCCAAAAAUCACAGAGUCGCGUCUGCCCUGAAUAAAUUAUGUUAGUCCCAAUUAAAAACGUGUUUAGAAUUGACUUCAGAACAUUGUCAACCCAAAUACACGGUCACACAAAGACCCGCUUGUUUCAGUGCACCUGAACCCGAACCUACAGGGCAGAGCUCUGCUAUUCAUCUUAAGGAUGGAUGGAGAGGGUCGGUGGCGAUAAAAUCGUAUGUUUGGUCGUUCUGUAAGUCCUCCUAAAGUUAAGCUGCCGGACGAGAAGACUUUGAAGGAACUCUGAUUAUCUUGGACGGAGGAGCGCUACUCCGGGACCUCACAUUGCUGAUGGCAGUGGUUUCUACUAAAAAAAAAAACAGCCCUGUUGACCAAGUAAUUUGACCAUUUCUCAUGUAAGGAAAAAUAAAAUGUCCAGUUCCUGUCAAUGAACACCUGGCCAUAAUUUUUUUUUUUUUUUUUUUUCUUUAAUGAACGUCUGCAGCGUCCAGAAUUUAUGCUUCUCUUGAGUUGGAUAUCUCCAUAUAGGAUUGACACUUGAGUGGUGAUUUAUCCUCUAAAUUAGAAAGUGUGGAAACACUGACCUCACUUAUUAUUUUACUCAUUCAAACUCUUAAUCUCAGUUGGUGCAGGACAUUUGAUUGGUCAAUGGUACACAAAACACGUGCGGCCUUAUGGAUCGUAAAACGGCUCUUUAA